RNAcentral lists this long non-coding RNA (204 nucleotides) under Homo sapiens (human). RNAcentral's name for it is "non-protein coding lnc-SYK-1:1". Lineage: Eukaryota; Metazoa; Chordata; Mammalia; Primates; Hominidae. The record is from RNAcentral.
CCAGAAUUUGGAAGCUUAUCAGACACAGGGGCCAGGAACAGAAGCCUCCCACAAGCCCAGAAGGACAUACUUAAUGCACAGCACUGAUUGCUACAGGGACCAAGAUGGGGACUUACAGGUGUGGGAAAACUGUAUGCAAAAACAAAACCCAAAAAGGACCUGAAUUUCUGCCCCUGUUAUAGUGUGAUGUAGCAGACAGACCUG